CCUACGGGAGGCAGCAGUGGGGAAUAUUGGACAAUGGGGGGAACCCUGAUCCAGCCAUGCCGCGUGUGUGAAGAAGGCCCUCGGGUUGUAAAGCACUUUCAGUGAGGAAGAACGCCUGGUGGUUAAUACCCAUCAGGAAAGACAUCACUCACAGAAGAAGCACCGGCUAACUCCGUGCCAGCAGCCGCGGUAAUACGGAGGGUGCGAGCGUUAAUCGGAAUUACUGGGCGUAAAGCGCGCGUAGGUGGCUUGAUAAGCCGGUUGUGAAAGCCCCGGGCUCAACCUGGGAACGGCAUCCGGAACUGUCAAGCUAGAGUGCAGGAGAGGAAGGUAGAAUUCCAGGUGUAGCGGUGAAAUGCGUAGAGAUCGGGAGGAAUACCAGUGGCGAAGGCGGCCUUCUGGACUGACACUGACACUGAGGUGCGAAAGCGUGGGUAGCAAACAGGAUUAGAUACCCCAGUAGUC
RNAcentral lists this ribosomal RNA (465 nucleotides) under Vreelandella stevensii. RNAcentral's name for it is "partial 16S ribosomal RNA". It matches the Rfam family "Bacterial small subunit ribosomal RNA", at positions 338 to 795 of the family's 1533-position model. The record is from RNAcentral. Lineage: Bacteria; Pseudomonadati; Pseudomonadota; Gammaproteobacteria; Oceanospirillales; Halomonadaceae.